Molecule: ribosomal RNA, 253 nt
Filed under: uncultured bacterium
Lineage: Bacteria
Description: partial 16S ribosomal RNA
Rfam family: Bacterial small subunit ribosomal RNA
Source: RNAcentral
GACAGAGGUCCCGAGCGUUAGGCGGAAUCACUGGGCUUAAAGCGUGUGUAGGCGGAUCGUUAAGUGCCUUGUGAAAUCCCACGGCUUAACCGUGGAACUGCUUGGCAUACUGGCGGUCUUGAGCCACCUAGGGGCAACCGGAACAAACGGUGGAGCGGUGAAAUGCGUAGAUAUCAGGAGGAACACCGGUGGCGAAGGCGGGUCUCUGGGCAGUAACUGACGCUGAGGAGCGAAAGCGUGGGGAGCGAACAGG